AUCAACUUUCUGAGAUCUUUCACAUCCGGCACACAUAUACGACCCUUGUACCACAAGGUACCCUAGUCAUCCUCUCUGAAAUGAGGUGCUUUGCCAAUCUUGAGCAACUCACGAAUUUCCUACAGCUUCUUAUCAUCUUUCUGAUGCUGCCUGAUCUCUGCCUCUAGAGUAGGUUCUGCCUCGAAUGAUGUACCCGAGGUGCGAUGCAAGAAACCCAGACUCAACUGCUCAAACUCCUCACAUAACUCCUGAGGCAUCUGAAAAGCCAUGGCCAUGUUAACAUAGCUCUUCCUGCUCAGAGCAUCUGCUACAACAUUAGCCUUGCCCGGAUGAUAGUGAAUCUCCAGGUCGUAAUCCUUGACCAACUCUAGCCAUCUUCUCUGCCGCAUGUUCAGCUCACUCUGGGUGAAGAUAUACUUGAGGCUCUUGUGAUCGGUGUAAAUAUCACACCUCUGCCCAAACAAGUAAUGCCUCCAUAUCUUCAGAGCAUGCACAACUGCGGCCAACUCCAGAUCAUGAGUGGGAUAAUUUAGCUCGUGCCGACGCAACUGCCGCGAGGCAUAAGCUAUCACUCUGCCUUCCUGCAUUAGGACGCAACCAAGACCAUCCCUCGAAGCAUCACAAUACACUGUGAACUUCUUGCUCUGGUCUGGCAGAGUAAGGACUGGCGCCGUAGUCAACCUCAUCUUUAGCUCCUCGAAGGCAUUCUAAAAAACGAGUUGAAGGAGUCGGUUUUAUUAGCGGAGAAGAAGCUGUAAAUUGGGGCUUAUCGGGCCCAAUGUUACGAGCUUCUGGAACACAAUGGGAUCUUCGUAAAAUUGAUCCUUAUGAGUCUUAUAAUCAAUUUGAUUGGAAAGUACAAUGGCAAAAAGAAGGAGAUUCGUUAGCUCGCUAUUUAGUACGAAUCGGUGAAAUGAGGGAAUCCAUAAAAAUUAUUCAACAAGCUGUAGGGAAAAUUCCGGGAGGACCUUAUGAGAAUUUAGAAGCCCGACGCUUUAAGAAAGCAAAGAAUUCCGAAUGGAAUGAUUUUGAAUAUCGAUUUCUUGGUAAAAAGCCUUCGCCCAAUUUUGAAUUAUCAAAGCAAGAGCUUUAUGUAAGAGUAGAAGCUCCAAAAGGUGAGUUAGGAAUUUAUCUGGUAGGAGAUGAUAGUCUUUUCCCCUGGAGAUGGAAAAUUCGUCCACCUGGUUUUAUUAAUUUGCAAAUUCUUCCUCAGCUAGUUAAAAAAAUGAAAUUGGCUGAUAUCAUGACGAUAUUAGGUAGUAUAGAUAUCAUUAUGGGGGAAGUUGAUCGUUGAAAUGAUAAUAGAGGUAGAAACUAUCAAUUCUUUUUCGAAAUCGGAAUUAUUAAAAGAAGUCUACGGACUGAUAUGGAUUCUACCCAUUUUGACCCUCCUACUGGGAAUCACAAUACAAGUACUCGUAAUUGUGUGGUUAGAAAGAGAAAUAUCCGCAUCGAUACAACAACGUAUUGGUCCUGAAUAUGCUGGCCCCCUGGGACUGCUUCAAGCUAUAGCAGAUGGAACUAAGCUACUUUUAAAAGAGGAUAUCCUCCCAUCCUGAGGAGAAAUUCCUUUAUUUAGCAUUGGUCCCUCUAUAGCAGUCAUAUCCAUUUUAUUAAGUUUUUUAGUUAUCCCUUUGGGAUAUCGUUUUGUUUUAGCUGAUCUUAGUAUUGGUGUUUUUUUAUGGAUUGCCAUUUCAAGUAUUGCUCCUAUUGGUCUUCUCAUGGCGGGAUAUAGUUCAAAUAAUAAAUAUUCUUUUUCAGGCGGUCUACGAGCGGCUGCUCAAUCUAUUAGUUAUGAAAUACCAUUAACUUUUUGUGUGCUAGCAAUAUCUCUACGUGUGAUUCGUUAAAAUAGGAUCGUUUUCCUCUAAAAUACAUUGAAUGCUUAUCUUCCUUUGCUUAUUCUGUAUUCGGGUUGGUAAGUUAAACUAGAUAGCUAUAUGAGUGAAACAAAACAGCUUAUUAAUUUGUAGUAAAAAUACAAAAUCUCAUUUCCUACGUACAAGAAAAAAGUUCAAGUAAACAUAAGCAGUGUAAACUCUUUACCCCAAGGUUGAGAUUGUUUGAUUAGUCAUCAUAUCUUGAAGCGGGCAAGAAUAAAGGAUUCGCGAUAUGGAAUUCCAUUACUAGAAUAUUUUGAGUUAUUACUAUAACUUAUAACCAUAAGGCAAUCCCUCAAAAGUUAGUGAGGGGUUAGAAACACUAAAGUACAUACAGGAUUAGUAAUGAGAGAAUCUCAAUUUUGAGAUAUUUUUCCUCAUAAAAGGAAUCGUAAUAAGGACUUGAAAUUGGUGGAAAUGAUCAAGUAGUACUUUCUUCGGAUUCCGGUCUAGAGUAUGUUCCCAUUCACUUGUUAAAGAAAUGGCUAUCGAGAACGAAUUAACCCUUUAUUCUUUUUUCUUUUUAAGCAUACCCUUCCCCGGGAAAGAAGAAUAGGACAAAAGAUAUGGAAUGCAAUACAAAAAAAAAAGGGAUCUUUAUUUAUUCUUUCCUUCCUUUAUCCCUAUUCAUACAGAAUUCCUCAUGAACUAAUACCCAAUUCUUUCCAUUUAUUAAUUGCUAUAACGAGUGUUUUAUUCCAAUAUUAAGUUAUUACCGAACAAAGAAAAAUUAUAUAUAAAGGAUGAGAUCAAUUCAGAAGCACUUUUUUUUUAUUCUAGCAGACGGAAUUGCUUUGGUCUAAUUUGGGGCUUUCCAAUCAAUUUUCUCUUACCUAAUUCUAUCUACGCCCAGGGGAUAAUACCGAAAUGAAACAAUACUUUCCCUUUUUUAUGAUCAUAGAGGAGCCGUAUGAAGCUAAGGUUUCAUGUACGGUUUUGGAAUAGCGGUGGGAACUGUGAUGUUAUCACCGACUAUGAUUAUCUAACAGUUCAAGUACAGUUGAUAUAGUUGAAGCACAGUCCAAAUAUGGUUUUUUUGGAUGGAAUCUUUGGCGUCAGCCUAUAGGUUUUCUAGUUUUUCUAAUUUCUUCUUUGGCAGAAUGUGAAAGAUUACCCUUUGAUUUACCAGAAGCGGAAGAAGAAUUAGUAGCAGGUUAUCAAACCGAAUAUUCUGGUAUUAAAUAUGGUUUAUUUUAUCUUGCUUCUUACCUAAAUUUAUUAGUUUCCUCUUUAUUUGUAACUGUUCUAUACUUAGGCGGGUGGAAUUUAUCUAUUCCCUAUAUAUCCUUUUUUGGAUUUUUCCAAAUGAAUAAAAUGAUUGGAAUUUUGGAAAUGAUAAUAGGUAUCUUUAUUACAUUAACUAAAGCUUAUUUAUUUCUCUUUAUUUCUAUCACAAUAAGAUGGACUUUACCCAGGAUGAGAAUGGAUCAGUUAUUAAAUCUUGGAUGGAAAUUUCUUUUACCUAUUUCUCUGGGCAAUCUCUUAUUAACAACUUCUUCCCAACUAGUUUCACUAUAAAUAAGACAAUAGAAUAAGAGUAAGAAUAUUUUCAACACAAAAGUUCUCUCAAACAAGAGAAAGAAACAUACCUUUUUCAUAUAUAUUUAGAAUAUGUUCCCUAUGCUAACUGGGUUCAUUAGUUAUGGUCAACAAACAAUACGCGCCGCAAGAUACAUUGGUCAAGGUUUCAUAAUUACCUUAUCCCACACAAAUCGUUUACCUAUAACGAUUCACUACCCUUAUGAAAAAUCAAUUACAUCGGAGCGUUUCCGGGGGCGAAUACACUUUGAAUUUGAUAAAUGCAUUGCUUGUGAAGUAUGUGUUCGCGUAUGCCCGAUAGAUCUACCUCUUGUGGAUUGGAGAUUUGAAAAGGAUAUUAAAAGGAAACAAUUGCUUAAUUAUAGUAUUGAUUUCGGAGUUUGUAUAUUUUGUGGUAACUGUGUUGAAUACUGUCCGACAAAUUGUUUAUCGAUGACUGAAGAAUAUGAACUUUCUACUUAUGAUCGUCAUGAAUUGAAUUACAAUCAAAUUGCUUUGAGUCGGUUACCAAUCUCGAUAAUGGGAGAUUACACAAUUCAAACAAUUAGGAAUUCGCCUCAAAGUAAAAUAGACGAAGAAAAAUCUUGGAAUUCAAGAACGAUUACUGAUUACUAGGUAUUAGGAUUUUUUUUGUCAGAAAAAUCCAUUUUUACUAACUAUAACGAAAAAAGAAUAAUUACUGUUUAACAACUUAUAUACAUAUACAAAAAAAUAUCCUAAUAUCUUUUUC
This 4149-nucleotide long non-coding RNA is filed under the name Panicum hallii. Lineage: Eukaryota; Viridiplantae; Streptophyta; Magnoliopsida; Poales; Poaceae. The record is from RNAcentral.